AACUUCUUCUUCUUCUCUUCCAACAAAAAAGCAAGAAGUUAUGGACUCCUCCAAGAUCUCAGCUCUCCUCCUCAUUUGCAUGCUCUUCAUUUCCUCUGCCACCCCAAUUUUUGGCUGUGGUUCUUGCGGCAAGCCAAAACCAAAGCGCAAGGGCCACAAGGGAAAAUCUCCUAGGGGUCCCAUUACCAUUCCUCCCAUUGUCAAGCCUCCGAUCAACUUGCCACCAGUCAUCCCUCCUAUUGUCAAGCCACCAAUCACCAUCCCUCCCAUUGUGAAGCCGCCGGUGACUGUUCCUCCUAUCACUGUUCCUCCAGUGGUCACUAAGCCACCAAAGGGAGGUAGUACUCCAUGCCCACCACCACCAGGAGCUAAGGCUACAUGCCCAAUUGAUACCGUGAAACUGGGUGCCUGCGUGGAUCUUCUAGGUGGGUUAGUGCACAUUGGCCUUGGCGACCCAGUUGUGAACGAGUGCUGCCCAGUUCUUCAAGGACUUGUGGAGCUUGAAGCUGCAGUCUGCUUGUGCACCACUCUCAAGCUCAAGCUUCUCAACCUUAAUAUCUUUGUCCCCCUUGCUCUUCAACUCCUAGUUACCUGUGGCAAGACACCUCCUCCUGGUUACACCUGCUCUCUUUAGACAACCAAAGGUUGCCAGAAUCAUUGACGGAUGUUGAAAUCGACAUAAGAGUUUGUCGAGCCUCCUAUUUCUUUUUCUUUCUGUUUC
This 721-nucleotide unclassified non-coding RNA is filed under the name Hevea brasiliensis (rubber tree). The record is from RNAcentral. Lineage: Eukaryota; Viridiplantae; Streptophyta; Magnoliopsida; Malpighiales; Euphorbiaceae.